This 73-nucleotide transfer RNA is filed under the name Candidatus Woesearchaeota archaeon. RNAcentral describes it as "tRNA-Pro". It matches the Rfam family "tRNA". Rfam says of the family: Transfer RNA (tRNA) molecules are approximately 80 nucleotides in length. Lineage: Archaea; Nanobdellati; Candidatus Woesearchaeota. The record is from RNAcentral.
GGGGUUGUGUUAUAACCUGGUAUUAUCCAAGGUUCGGGGCCUUGUGAUCCCGGUUCGAAUCCGGGCAACCCCA